Molecule: ribosomal RNA, 460 nt
Filed under: uncultured bacterium
Lineage: Bacteria
Description: partial 16S ribosomal RNA
Rfam family: Bacterial small subunit ribosomal RNA
Source: RNAcentral
CCUACGGGGGGCAGCAGUGAGGAAUAUUGGUCAAUGGCCGUAAGGCUGAACCAGCCAAGUCGCGUGAAGGAAGAAGGAUCUAUGGUUUGUAAACUUCUUUUAUAGGGGAAUAAAGGUAUCCACGUGUGGAUAUUUGCAUAUACCCUAUGAAUAAGCAUCGGCUAACUCCGUGCCAGCAGCCGCGGUAAUACGGAGGAUGCGAGCGUUAUCCGGAUUUAUCGGGUUUAAAGGGUGCGUAGGUUGUGUUUUAAGUCAGCGGUGAAAGUUUGUGGCUCAACCAUAAAAUUGCCGUUGAAACUGGAAGACUUGAGUGUGUUUGAGGUAGGCGGAAUGCGUGGUGUAGCGGUGAAAUGCAUAGAUAUCACGCAGAACUCCGAUUGCGAAGGCAGCUUACUAAGCCAUAACUGACACUGAAGCACGAAAGCGUGGGGAUCAAACAGGAUUAGAUACCCCUGUAGUC